UACGGAGGAUGCAAGCGUUAUCCGGAUUUAUUGGGUUUAAAGGGUGCGCAGGCGGAACGAUAAGUCAGUGGUGAAAUCCUACGGCUCAACUGUAGAACUGCCGUUGAUACUGUCGCUCUUGAGUACACUUGAAGUGGGCGGAAUGUGUCAUGUAGCGGUGAAAUGCUUAGAUAUGACACAGAACACCGAUCGCGAAGGCAGCUCGCUAAAGUGUAACUGACGCUCAGGCACGAAAGCGUGGGGAU
RNAcentral lists this ribosomal RNA (245 nucleotides) under uncultured bacterium. RNAcentral's name for it is "partial 16S ribosomal RNA". It matches the Rfam family "Bacterial small subunit ribosomal RNA", at positions 524 to 768 of the family's 1533-position model. The record is from RNAcentral.